This 415-nucleotide ribosomal RNA is filed under the name Entamoeba histolytica. Its description in RNAcentral is "SSU rRNA". It matches the Rfam family "Eukaryotic small subunit ribosomal RNA", at positions 1064 to 1431 of the family's 1831-position model. Lineage: Eukaryota; Evosea; Mastigamoebida; Endamoebidae. The record is from RNAcentral.
UAUCAAUAUUACCUUGUUCAGAACUUAAAGAGAAAUCUUGAGUUUAUGGACUUCAGGGGGAGUAUGGUCACAAGGCUGAAACUUAAAGGAAUUGACGGAAGGGCACACCAGGAGUGGAGCCUGCGGCUUAAUUUGACUCAACACGGGAAAACUUACCAAGACCGAACAGUAGAAGGAAUGACAGAUUAAGAGUUCUUUCAUGAUUUAUUGGGUAGUGGUGCAUGGCCGUUCUUAGUUGGUGGAGUGAUUUGUCAGGUUAAUUCCGGUAACGAACGAGACUGAAACCUAUUAAUUAGUUUUCUGCCUAUAAGACAGAAAUGUUCGCAAGAACAGGUGCGUAAGUACCACUUCUUAAAGGGACACAUUUCAAUUGUCCUAUUUUAAUUGUAGUUAUCUAAUUUCGGUUAGACCUCUU